Molecule: ribosomal RNA, 305 nt
Filed under: uncultured bacterium
Lineage: Bacteria
Description: bacterial SSU rRNA
Rfam family: Bacterial small subunit ribosomal RNA
Source: RNAcentral
UGAUCCUACGGGAGGCAGCAGUAGGGAAUCUUCGGCAAUGGGCGAAAGCCUGACCGAGCAACGCCGCGUGAAUGAAGAAGGCCUUCGGGUUGUAAAAUUCUGUUAUAAGGGAAGAAAGGUGAUAGGAGGAAAUGACUAUCAAUUGACGGUACCUUAUGAGAAAGCCACGGCUAACUACGUGCCAGCAGCCGCGGUAAUACGUAGGUGGCAAGCGUUGUCCGGAUUUACUGGGUGUAAAGGGCGUGUAGCCGGGCUGACAAGUCAGAUGUGAAAUCCGGGGGCUCAACCCCCGAACUGCAUUUGAA